ACAUAACCAGUUCAUAAUAAGAGCUGGUUUUACUGGUUUAAGCAUGCAGAAGUAUGAGAAACUGGAGAAGAUCGGGGAGGGUACAUAUGGUACAGUAUUUAAAGCUAAAAACAGAGAGACCCAUGAGAUUGUGGCUCUGAAGCGAGUCAGACUGGACGAUGAUGAUGAGGGGGUUCCUAGUUCAGCCUUAAGAGAAAUCUGUUUGUUAAAAGAGCUGAAGCAUAAAAACAUUGUGAGGCUACAUGAUGUACUGCACAGUGAUAAGAAGCUGACAUUAGUAUUUGAAUAUUGUGACCAGGAUCUGAAGAAAUAUUUUGAUAGCUGUAAUGGUGACUUGGAUCCUGAGAUUGUAAAGUCUUUUAUGUACCAGUUGUUGAAGGGCCUAGCCUUCUGCCACAGUCGCAACGUUCUUCAUCGCGACCUUAAACCCCAAAAUCUGCUCAUCAACAGAAAUGGUGAACUCAAGUUGGCUGACUUCGGUUUGGCCCGAGCAUUUGGAAUUCCUGUACGAUGCUACUCUGCUGAGGUGGUGACGCUAUGGUACAGGCCACCAGAUGUGCUCUUCGGUGCUAAACUUUAUUCCACCUCUAUCGACAUGUGGUCAGCCGGAUGCAUAUUUGCAGAACUGGCCAAUGCUGGUCGACCACUGUUCCCAGGAAAUGACGUAGACGACCAGUUGAAACGGAUCUUUAGAUAUCCUUUGCAUUAUGCCUUUCAGAGGAACAGUGGCAAACUAUGACCAAACUCCCUGAUUAUAAGCCAUAUCCGAUGUACCCUGCAACCACAUCGCUGGUAAAUGUCGUCCCUAAACUUAGUAGCACAGGACGGGACCUACUACAGAACCUUUUGAAAUGCAAUCCAGUGCAGCGGAUAUCAGCAGAGGAGGCACUACAGCACCCGUACUUUGCUGAUUUUUGCCCACCUUAGAAUCUAAAUCAGUUCUUCUUUCAUCCGAACGAACCCACAGUGGUUUUACCUCAUCGACAUACAUUUUGAUUUAUUCUUUUUGUUAGAUUUUCUUGUAGACACAUCACUGGAAAGCAUUUAUUGCCAUCGUCCUCCAUCAUGGUUGUUUGGGAUUCUUCAUAUUGUUUCCAAAUGUGCUUUAUAGUUUAUAGUUCUUAGUACCAUAAAACCUUGUCAGACUUUUAGGCAGCAGCAUCUAUUAGAAGCAGAUGAGAGUAAGCCAAACAUAGUAAUAUGAGAUGGUUCUUUUUGCACUUCUGCCAAAUACUGUUAGGGCACGAAGUGUAUUGGUGGUGAUUUUUUGUUUUAUAUAAAGAAUGUGUUUUAAGUAUGUUUUAAUCUAUCUUCACGGUUAAUUUAUUUUUAUUAAUUAUUCUUACAUUAUUGUCACACAUUUGACUUUAUUUUUUUAUAGAAUUACGUUGGUAUUAGGGUGUUUUUCGUCUUUCAAUAACGAUGCAUCACAUUGAUCUCACUUAUGUGUCAUGGAGUGACGACUGAAGUUCCUGCCAUCUGUAGUCCAAUAAUGACUCCUUAAAAGGUGGCUUGGCUGCUCUGAAUUCCCCCAGCUAUAAGUCAAUGUGCGGGCAUCCUAACCAAGAUGAAGAUAGUAGUGAAAAUAAAUCACGUAUAGUGAUUGAACGUGGCAAGAAUUUAACAGUACCAAAAAACAAUCAUACCAGUACAGAAUGAUUUCAAACCUGUGAUGAAGCUACGGCAUUGUGCAGAAGUCUUGACACCCCUGUUUUUUUUCCUGUGCGAAUAAGUUCACACAUUCUCUACAUGAAUAAACGAGUGUUGCAGUUUAAGUGCACAUUUUUAACUUGUUGAAUUUAACAAAUUGAGAAAUAGUAAUAGUAGGGAUGUUUGUACCCUGUAGAGAACGUGCACUUGUUUUUCACUUGUUUUUGGCUGUUAAACCAAAUGCUAAAAUAUUUAUCAGGACAUUAAAACAAUUCAGAUGUGUUUUUCAGCUCUGUAGUGCAGUAUUACAAUAAAAUUCUUACGUUUAGUUGUUGUUAUGAUAUUUUUACACUUGUUUUAGCACUUGGUUACAUGUUUUUUUAUGUAAGAAUUUAUCAUAUGAAUAAAAUCCAUUCCAUAAAAUAACUGA
Molecule: RNA transcript, 2080 nt
Organism: Trichomycterus rosablanca
Lineage: Eukaryota; Metazoa; Chordata; Actinopteri; Siluriformes; Trichomycteridae
Gene: cdk5
Gene name: cyclin dependent kinase 5
Exons: 12
Source: RefSeq, a predicted model, not a curated record